RNA transcript from Phycodurus eques (leafy seadragon), 5393 nucleotides. It is a transcript of the gene named xenotropic and polytropic retrovirus receptor 1a, with no coding region annotated. The record is from RefSeq and is a predicted model, not a curated record. The transcript has 15 exons. NCBI's taxonomy places the organism in Eukaryota, Metazoa, Chordata, Actinopteri, Syngnathiformes, Syngnathidae.
UAGUAAAGUACAGUACUCCCAAAAUAACUGUAAACGUCGUUAGACAAGUUAAUGUUAUACGCGUAAACGUUCUCAAACGACAUUAACUUGUGUUAGUGGAUUAGCUGCAGCAGCAGACGGAAGUAGCAGCAAGAGGUCCAAACGGUGGCAGCUGACAGCUCGCCCUCUAUGACGCAAGUACGUCACUGAUGGCGGACCGCACACUAGUCCACAGACACACACACUCGCCGAGGGACGGAGCAAAGUCACCGAGACACACUCUCGCAAGCCUAUUGGCCCAACUCCUGCCGAACUGAACGCGAACCUUCCGAGGUGAGACGGGUAGCAGUGGUACAGUAGUUUAGUAGAAUGUGGGACGGGACGGGACCGGCUCGGCGAGCAGUGGAGUGAAGCGGGCCGCCUCGGGCUGACGUGCCCGCCGCAUGUUGAGCAAGCAGCAAGUUGACGGACAUAAAAGUGGCUUCGACGCGGAAGAGAAGAGGAGCCGGGCUCGCAUUUAAUAUCAUUUCGUCGAAUCUUCCUUCCUGCAACUAUGAAAUUCGCCGAGCACCUUUCGUCCCACAUCACUCCGGAGUGGAGAAAGCAGUACCUUCAAUAUGAGGCAUUCAAGGAUAUGCUUUAUGCAUCCCAGGACCAAGCCCCAUCUACAGAAGUCACAGAUGAGGAUACCGUGAAGAGAUACUAUGCUAAAUUUGAAGAGAGGUUUUUCCAGACCUGUGAGAAGGAGCUGUUGAAAAUCAACACUUUUUAUUCAGAAAAACUUGCGGAAGCCCAGAGACGCUUUGCCACCCUGCAGAAUGAACUGCAGUCUUCGCUGGAUGCCCAGCGCGAAAGCAACGCUCCGCCCGGGCUGCGCAAACGCAAGACCGUGUUCCACCUGUCGCAAGAGGAGCGCUGCAAGCACCACAACAUCAAGGACCUGAAGCUUGCCUUCAGUGAGUUCUACCUGAGCCUCAUCCUGCUGCAGAACUACCAGAAUUUAAAUUUCACCGGUUUCCGUAAGAUCCUGAAGAAACAUGACAAGAUUCUGGAUACCUCCCGCGGGGCCGACUGGCGUGUGGCACACGUGGAAGUGGCGCCAUUUUACACCUGCAAGAAGAUUACACAGCUCAUCACGGAGACUGAGACGUUGGUGACCACAGAGCUGGAGGGAGGAGAUCGUCAACGGGCGAUGAAGAGGUUACGAGUUCCUCCGCUGGGUGCCGCUCAGCCUGCUUUGGCCUGGACGACGUUUCGUGUUGGUCUUUACUGUGGCAUCUUCAUCAUCCUCGCCAUCGCCUUUGUCCUAACAGGCACAGUGUUCAUCCGCUAUGAGAACGUGUGGCCUCUGGUGCGGAUCUACCGGGGCGGGUUUCUUUUGAUCCAGUUCCUGUUCCUCCUGGGCAUAAACACAUAUGGUUGGAGACAGGCGGGAGUCAACCACGUGCUAAUCUUUGAGAUCAAUCCUCGGAACAACCUCUCACACCAGCACCUGUUUGAGAUCGCUGGGUUCCUCGGUGUGUUAUGGUGUCUCAGCAUCCUGUCGUGUCUCUACUCGGAGUACCUCUACCUCCCCAUGCAAAUCAACCCCCUCGUCCUCUAUGGCUUCAUGCUACUCUUCCUCAUAAACCCCUUCAAGACCUGCUACUACAAGUCGCGUUUCUGGCUGCUCAAGCUGCUGUUCCGAGUGUUCACGGCACCGUUUCACCGAGUGGAGUUUGCGGACUUCUGGCUGGCCGACCAGCUCAACUCGCUGGUGGUGGUCCUGAUGGACCUGGAAUAUCUCAUCUGCUUCUACAUCUUUGAGCUGCAGUGGAGCAACAGCAAUGGCUUGUUGCCCAAAAUAAACGACUCCGCAAGCUACGUGUGCCACAGCUACUCGUACGGCCUGCGCGCCAUCAUCCAGUGUCUGCCCGCCUGGCUGCGCUUCAUCCAGUGCCUCAGGCGUUAUCGAGACACCAAGAGGGCCUUCCCCCACCUGGUUAAUGCGGGCAAAUAUUCCACCACCUUCUUCGUGGUCACCUUUGCCGCGCUCUAUGCCACACACAGAGAGCAAGGCCACACAGAUGCCGACACAUUCUUCUACCUGUUGAUCGUGUUCUCCACCAUAAGCUCCUUAUACACACUGAUCUGGGAUCUGCGCAUGGACUGGGGUCUGUUUGACCGCGGAGCUGGAGAAAACACCUUCCUCAGAGAAGAGAUUGUUUACCCACAUAAGGCCUACUACUACUGUGCCAUUUUAGAAGAUGUAAUCCUGCGUUUCGCCUGGACAAUCUCUCUCUCUCUGACCUCUAUGACCAAGAUUCACUCGGUGGGUGACAUCGUGGCCACUGUGCUGGCCCCCCUCGAGGUCUUCAGGCGUUUCGUGUGGAAUUUCUUCCGCCUGGAGAACGAGCACCUGAACAACUGCGGCGAGUUCCGUGCGGUGCGAGAUAUUUCCGUGGCGCCGCUCAACGCUGACGACCAGACGCUGCUGGAGCAGAUGAUGGACCAGGAGGACGGGGUCCGCAACCGCUCGGGCAAGAAGACGUGGAAGAGGUCCUACAGCCUCACGCUGCGGCGCCCUCUACUGUCCUCUCAGUAAGGAAGAUAAGACACAAUGACCAGGGGCCUCAUGUACAAAAGGUGCGUACGCACAAAAACGCGGCGUCCGUUCUUUUUCACGGCAAAGUUCAGAUGUAUCAAGAGUGACAUGACCGUGGAAAUGUGCGGUGCCUCACGCCAACUGCAUGGCUGGCGUACGCACGUUUCUGCUGCUUUUGGUGCUUUGGCGACACUUAGAGGUGAUGCUGGGAAACUGUUCUCAUAAAUCGGAGACACAUGAAUAAUUAGCACCGAUGAACAAUUCAUGCCCGGCAACAUUUGAUUUCAACAAUGCAAUUGAGGCAAGGACUGAGAAUUCAUUUGUUAACCGGUGUAUUUAAUGAACCACUGAUAUUUGUGAGGACACUUAUUAAUGGAUCAAGGCGAUCAUUUAUGCCGCCUAUUGCCUUCAUAAUCGCGUCGUGACUCCAGCACAUGCACUGAAAAAAAAAAGAAAAAGAGUCCUUUGAAUUUACUUCAUUUGAACAUGUACAUCGGUUGCACAUGAUUAAAAUGUGUUUAAAUUGACAUAAUUUACCCCUCUUCGCCUAAAAAAAUAUGAUUUAUUGUCAGUGUGCGUGUCCUCUCCUGUGUGUUAAAAUAAUAAAUUGAGUCAUCAAAAAGGAGUCAACGUUUUUGAUAUCCUCUUUGAUAUGCUGAUGUGCUUCUAUUGCUUCUAUUUAUUACAAAUACCACACAUACAACAUUUAGGCAUGAACCUUUAUCUCACAGGGCUGAGUGUAGGUUACUGUAUGAACACAUUUGUGAUGAGUUCUAAAAAUACAUGGUAUUAACCUUGUGGGGUGAUCAUAGUCAGCCGUGAGUCCUCCCAUCACCCCGUGAUCGCAGCGAUUCUCUCCUCAAACAGGUGAGGCCCUCCGCGCCGGUUCUUCCACCUUUUUCUGGCCACACUUUGGCGGUGGGCAGCUGUCCUCCGCUUCACAUCCACCUUAAUGUCUGACCACUUCUUUUUUAGUUCAGCGUGCGCGCUAUUCUGUCUCCACAGCAUUGACAGCCGGACACGCGCUGUCCCAUUCGCUCCUCUUUCGCGUGUUGUUAACGCCGUACGACAGCGUGCCAAAGAAGAUUUUCUUGUGUGCCUCCACUUCAUUAAGCAACUUCACAUUCAGAAAAAUAAUUGUUCUUCAUUACCUUGCUCAUUGUCCUUUUUUUCUGAUUAUGCAGAGAUCGGCAUCUCAGGGUGCAGGGUUCAUUUAAAUAUGAUUUGCAUAUUCAAAUGUGGGCGUGGACAGGGAGGAGUCAGCUACUCCAAUAUGUGCGCUCAUUUCCACGUUGAUUGGAACGUACGAAGGAAAUGUGCUUGGAUUCACGAGUACGCGAGUUUCAUACAUCUGAAUGUUUUUGUGCGUACGAAGUUUUCUGGAUUUGAGCGUACGCCAUGUUUUAGGAGGAAAUCCACGUCCAAAAAGGACACCAAGGUUCUAAUUGAGGAUACGGAUGAUGAGGCCUUCAGCUGAAUCACCAGCAAGCAUCGGCACAUGUCGACAAACAACCACACACACUCACACACAUACACGCCACAUGGGUCUUCUUUUCCAUCUCUAACCUUUAGUCAAAACGCCGCCGCCCCACCCCCCCCAAAAAAAAGGUUGCUGGGCAAUGAAAAGUACUUAUCGCCAUCAUUUGUGAGAUUUAUUUUCAUUCAUGCAAACUAUGAAAACAAUGAAAAUGUUGUUGGUGUUUUUCUUUAUCGUAAAAAACAAAAUGGAAAUCAUGCAUUUCAACAGUUUGUGAUUUAUUUUUUAGUCAUUAUUUUUGCGCCCCCGCCCCCAAAAGAAAUGUCCAUGUUUAGUGGAUAUUUUUCUUUUUAUUUUAAAAAUUGAAAACAAUAAGAAUAUAUUUCCAAAUGAUAUUUUGUUUUUGUUUUUAUAUUAAAAAAACAUGUAUCUCCAAAUUUGUGGAUUUUUUUUAAUUUCUUUUUUGUCAAAACAAACAUUGAAAUGAAUAUAAAAAAAACAUUUUUACAAGAAUGUAUGUCCACAUUUUGUGGAUUUUCUUUUCUUUUUAUUUGAAAAACAAAAAUAUUGAAGAUAUCUCUGAAUGUUGUACUGGUAUUUUUUUCUUAUCUAAAAAAUAUGUUGAAAAGCAUGCAUUUCCAAAUGUUGUGGAUUUUUUUUUAUGUUAAAAAACAAACAUUGUAUUUGCACAUUUUAGGAUUUUUUUUUUUCCCUUAAAAAAAACAAAAAACUAAACAAAAACAAAGGCAAUGGAAAAACAUGUAUCUCCAAAUUUUGUGAGCUUUUAGAGAGAAAAAUGCCCAAAAAAACAAGAACAACAGGGUAUUGUUGUUUUUUGGCUUUAGAUGUUGAAAAGAAAAAUUUCCUGAGAAUCGGAGAUACUUUUCAUUGCUCAGUGACGAAACCAGUGAGGGGCUAACAAAGACCUCGUUACCUCAUCCUCAUGUAAACACACACACACACACACACACACACACCAUAAUGUGGUGAUCCUCACAAUCUGCUGAAGCACAAAUAUAGUAUUACACUCGACGUAUAAGACAACAAUGUUCCUUUUCUUUCCUUCUCUCUAUCCAUGCAUGCCAUGCAACAAAAAGCUAUUAUCGCCACCGUUUUUGUUUUGUUUUUGUUUUUCUUUCCAAAACCCAACAAAAAUAUUGUUUUCUUUGUGUUUUGGAUGAAAAUGGAAACAAUUUGAGGUUUUUUUUUUUUUUUUGGUGGCAUGGCGAUGAUGUGCUUUUAUUUCUAACCAAGCUGCAUUAGACGACUGUUUACAUGCCUUUCUGGACUACUUACAGGAUCAACAGGGACAACAAGAAACAAUCAAAAAAAAAAAAAAAAAAAAAAAGAGAA